This 69-nucleotide transfer RNA is filed under the name Bos taurus (domestic cattle). It matches the Rfam family "tRNA". Rfam says of the family: Transfer RNA (tRNA) molecules are approximately 80 nucleotides in length. Their secondary structure includes four short double-helical elements and three loops (D, anti-codon, and T loops). Further hydrogen bonds mediate the characteristic L-shaped molecular structure. tRNAs have two regions of fundamental functional importance: the anti-codon, which is responsible for specific mRNA codon recognition, and the 3' end, to which the tRNAs corresponding amino acid is attached (by aminoacyl-tRNA synthetases). tRNAs cope with the degeneracy of the genetic code in two manners: having more than one tRNA (with a specific anti-codon) for a particular amino acid; and 'wobble' base-pairing, i.e. permitting non-standard base-pairing at the 3rd anti-codon position. The record is from Rfam by way of RNAcentral. RNAcentral also lists the same sequence under 4 other names. Lineage: Eukaryota; Metazoa; Chordata; Mammalia; Artiodactyla; Bovidae.
CCUGGGGGCUCAGAUGGUAAAGCGUCUGCCUGCAGUGCAGGAGACCUGGGUUCGAUUCCUGGGUCAGGA